Molecule: ribosomal RNA, 468 nt
Filed under: uncultured bacterium
Lineage: Bacteria
Description: partial 16S ribosomal RNA
Rfam family: Bacterial small subunit ribosomal RNA
Source: RNAcentral
GACGAACGCUGGCGGCGUGCUUAACACAUGCAAGUCGAACGGAAAGGCCCUGCUUUUGUGGGGUGCUCGAGUGGCGAACGGGUGAGUAACACGUGAGUAACCUGCCCUUGACUUUGGGAUAACUUCAGGAAACUGGGGCUAAUACCGGAUAGGAGCUCCUGCUGCAUGGUGGGGGUUGGAAAGUUUCGGCGGUUGGGGAUGGAUUCGCGGCUUAUCAGCUUGUUGGUGGGGUAGUGGCUUACCAAGGCUUUGACGGGUAGCCGGCCUGAGAGGGUGACCGGCCACAUUGGGACUGAGAGACGGCCCAGACUCCUACGGGAGGCAGCAGUGGGGAACAUUGCACAAUGGGCGGAAGCCUGAUGCAGCAACGCCGCGUGCGGGAUGACGGCCUUCGGGUUGUAAACCGCUUUCGCCUGUGACGAAGCGUGAGUGACGGUAAUGGGUAAAGAAGCACCGGCUAACUACGUG